GAAGAAGGAGGAGGAAGAGAGGCACUCUCUCUCUCUCUCUCUCUCUCUGAUUCUUGAAGAAGGGGGACCAAGGAGCUGAGGUGGCAACCGAAAAUGGUUAUAGUGGAGGGCUGCACUCAAGAAGUCGCUCUAAGUUGAAGGAUGGGAGAGGUAAGAAGAAGAGGAAAAGUUAUAAGAGAGGGACGAGCACCAGAGAAGGGGGGUCAGAGCAGGAGAGGGAGAGGAGUUCUGAGAGAAGAAAUAGCUAGUUGGGAGAAGUCGCUCUCGUUGGGUAGUAAAGAGAAGGUUUUUUUUAAAGAAAUGGCAAGGAAGAAGGGUUUCAGUGGAUGAAAGGUAGAGAAAGGUUCUCAGUCUCAGAAGUUGCAGGGAGAGUGAGAACUUUCAUAGGGAGAGAAUCGCAAGGAUGAAGAAGACUCCCAAACGCUGGAGAUGAGUGAAGAUGCAGAGCGAUUUUGCUGGUUCAGAUUUUCUCUCCUGGAAUUUCUUGAUCUGCCUCCAACCUCUGGAAUUCCUUCAUGUGCUACUCUCCAAAAGAAGAGCUUAAAUUUAGGAUGGAUUUUGAGUUUCCAAAAAUACAGCUACCAGUGUGAGCAUGAAGAUAAGUACACCUGUUUGAGAAUCCACUGGAGUUAGUAUUGAUAUUAGAUCUGAAAAACUUGACAACUAUUUUAGUUGAGAGAUAACCUCUUUUUUGAGAGGUAGCACCACAUCUUUUCAUGACAUUGGAAAUGGGGAUUUGAAUUAUCUUAUUAAAUAAGGAAAGAGAGUAAAUAAUUUAAAAGACUAACAUUCCAUUCAGUCCUCACCAUAAAAUCAUUAACUUUCAUUAGGUAUGGGGGAGGGUUGUUUGAAAAAGUUAGAGCAAGAGAGUAAUUGGGAAUGGAUUUGAUCUAGGGAUUAAUCCAAAAUUUAGUAUCAUUUCCAUUACCAAUUUUCAAGAAAAACAUUUUUUGAAGAGUAUGUAGGAUACUUACCAUGCUGUUUCAACAAGGCGAUUCUCUCCUAUAUAGAGUUUUUUGAUCAAAUACUGACCUAUUGUGAAAAUACUUAGCUUUCAGGAUUUGUGCCCAUAGUGAUUGAUCAUUAUUGAGGGGAUGCCAACCAAGUUUGAGGAGUAGUGCUUUGAUUUGAGUUUCUAAAUCUCAAAUCUCAAAUCCUCCUUAUGAUUUGGAUAAGCAUAUUCUAUGCCAGCCAAUGAGAGAGUUUUUUGGUUUUGUCCUAGUGUCAACUCCAGAAAUAUAGGUAUGUGGAGUCUAAAUUCCUGUAAACAACUUUAAGGAUGGAAAAGCAUGACAUUAGAUAUGAUGAAAUAGAGGAAAGGGAAAAUUGGACUAACACCAUUCUUCAAGCAAAUGAAAUAAGGUUAGCCUUCCAAAGACUUAAUUUCUUUUCCACUGUUUGAUCACAUGGUUGAAGGAGAGUGAUUUGGCUCUAUGUUGGAAGAGCCCAAUCCCAAGGUAAGAAGAGUCAUGGUUCAUUUUCUUAAUGCCUAGAAUUAUGCUCAAUGCAAUCUUGAUAUCAGUGGUCACAUUAGAACUAAAAGCCAGACCAUUUUAUUAAGGUUGAUGGUGCUCAUAAGCAGAUCCUUUUAGUUCGAUAGAAAAAGAAGAUGAGUUAAUUAGAUAACUAAUUAACACCCCAUCUAUAACCAAAGCCCAGAAAGUCAAAGAUAGCUCUAAGGUAGCCCCAUUCCACUUUGUUAAAGGCUUUGGCCAUAUCAAGUUCAAUAACCAUAAAACCGUUUGCUAACCACAAAUUCCAGUUUUACCUUUUUUUUUUUUUUUUCUUUUCAGAAGAAAUGAAAAAUUUCUUGGGCUAUGACAAAUUGUCAGUGAUUUGCCUUCCGGAGGGACAUAGGCAUUAUGAAAACGUGAAUGAUAUGAUGAAGUUGUUUCUUAAGCAUGCUAGCUAAUAUUUUGGCUGUGUAUUUAUAGGUUGCAUUGCACACACUAAAAGGUCUAAAUUCCUUGACAAGAAUACAAGAAUACAUUCUCCUUUUUUGGAAGUAAACAGAUUAAAGUGUGAUUGACCCCGUAGGAGAGAUGGAUAUCUUUGAAAAAGGAAGUGACAAAAUUACAAUUUUUCCACAAGAAGAUCCCAAUAUUUUUUAAAUAAGAUGGUUUGGAAACCAUCAAGAACAGGUGCUUUGAAGGCAACAAUCGAGAAAACAGUUUAUGAACAAAGGAUGGGAUUUGAGAAAUGGGUUUGGUAUCAAGGUUGUGGAUAGGAAGGGGGGCGGAAAGAGGCAUUCAACAAAGGAUAGGCCAGGGGGUUAGAUAUGGUGAAAAGGUUGGAUAGGAACAGGGAAAAUUCUUUUGCCAUGAGGCAAGGAUCAGAUAGUCUCUCUGGCGGGGGGAAAAAAUAAAUUCAUGCUUCUCCUUCGAGUGUUGACUUUAGUGAUAGGGUGAUAAUAUUUUGUAUUCUAAUACUCCUCAAAGAUGUGAGAAUGUCUAGAUUUUUUGUACCAAAAUUUUUCUUCAGCAUUCAAUAUCCAUUCCUCAGAAGAUAAUUUGGAAA
Molecule: long non-coding RNA, 2517 nt
Organism: Macadamia integrifolia
Lineage: Eukaryota; Viridiplantae; Streptophyta; Magnoliopsida; Proteales; Proteaceae
Exons: 2
Source: RefSeq, a predicted model, not a curated record